AUAUAUAGAAAUUCACAUGCAUAUAUAUGUCGCAUUAAUUUGUAUACAAAAUUUGUAUUUCAACUUUAACAAUAUAAUGAUACUUAAAAAUAAUGAUAUGAUAGAAUAAAAUUUAGAUUCUUAAAAUAUGGCGUCUACCAAAACAAUCAAAUAGCUGGUGGAAAUAAACUAAAAAGAACAGGAAAAAUAAUAAUAAUAAUAAUAAUAUAGACAGUCCAAGGAUGCGUAGCUAAAGUGAAUAAAUACAUACAACUAUACAAGGUAUAAGUUACAUCAUUAAAUGACAACAUAAGAACACCUAACACCGAUUGCAAAAUAGUUGGAGCCUGAGAAGUAGGGUAGUUAGUAAACAGUGUCUUGUUGAGUCUGUUAACUUACUUCCAGCACACACAUUUUAACAGUAAAAUUAGCCCAAAUCGGUUCCCAGACUUGAGCUACAGAGCUAGCUUCAAAGUCUUAUCCGGGGUUCUUCUUCUUUUGGUAUAAUGCUUUUCAAGCCCCUUCAAUAUCUUUAUAUCACCCCCCAUUUUUUUAAUUAGAGUUAUAUUGUUAUUAAAGUUACGUAUAAAAACAAAUACAAAUUGAGUAACACUAAAAUAUUUUUACAAAUCAUGAAUCCUAACUGCUUGAGAAGAAGUAUAGGUGUAAAUAUUGCAUGACGACAUGUGGCAAAAGGUUGUCAAACAAGUGGAGGCAAAUCAUUUUAGGGAUGGCAAAAAUCCCCACGGGGACGGGUACCCUUGGGGAUUUUCCCCAUUCGGGGAGGGUAUGAGGAUAAUUUCAUACCCAAUUUCUUAUUCGGGGAGGGGACGAGGAUGAGGUGGAAUCCUCAUCCCCUACCCAUUUUCCC
RNAcentral lists this long non-coding RNA (850 nucleotides) under Citrus x clementina. Its description in RNAcentral is "Citrus clementina (C. clementina) long non-coding RNA (CCLE_LNC003917)". The record is from RNAcentral. Lineage: Eukaryota; Viridiplantae; Streptophyta; Magnoliopsida; Sapindales; Rutaceae.